GCAUCAGCACCGCUCCCACCACUUCGCGGAGAGGCCGGCCUGGACAUGAAGAUGAGGGAGCCGUUGGGGGCGAGGGAGCCCCCCAUGGUGGACGGCACGCGCCGCGAAGCAGUUUAUAUUUAGACCCAAGCAUCGCAAAAGCAUGAUCGUUUUUGCAAGGCCCCUUUGAAGAAGAUCUGGUGAUACAGCUGCCAGCAUCCAAUUGUCUAAAUACAGAAAAAUUUGAAUCCCUCUCUCUUGAAUACUUCCCUGUGUGCAGCAAGUACAGAAGUGGAGGAAGGAUGUGUCUUUUUACCCAUCACCACUUAUGAUUGGGUUACUGCAAUUAGAUAUUGUUACAGAGAAAACCAUUUCAGCCAAUUUCAUUAAGGGAAAUAGCAAAUGUAGACAAAAGUGAAUGUAAAUGAAACUGCCUAAUAUGGAGUCAAGCCAUCAAGACCAGUAUUGUGUGUUGCAAUGGAAAGCCAUUGCAGUGGCUUUCCAGGGUCACAAGCAGAAGCUUUCCCCAACAUUUGCUAUAUCAGAUCCUUGUAACUGGAUGUCAGAAAUUGUGACUUUCUGGAUGAAAAGCAGGGGCGUAACUAGGUUGGAGUGGGCCCUGAGACAAGAUUCUUAAAUGCCCCCCCAUUAAAUGACUUCACAAGGAAGAUCGGGUAGGCGCUGGGUGGGGGAGAGCCUCUGAGGGGCCCCCCCAAGGGUGGACUCGCGGAGACAAACAACAAAGAAAUAGCGGGCGGCGCCAGAACGAGAAUUUUUUAAAAAAAUGACUUCACAAGGAAGAUCGGGUAGGCGCUGGGUGGGGGAGAGCCUCUGAGGGCCCCCCCCCAAGGCAGGGGCCCCCGAGACAACGGCCUCCCCCUGCCUAAUUGUAGUUACACCCCUGAUGAAAAGCAUGUGUUCUGCUCCUAUGCUUUGGCUCCUUAUACUGUAUUUAUGAUUGUUAAAAAAAGAGCAAAUUCAGUACUUACUACAGCCAAAAGAAAAACUUCUAGUUUGAAAAGGCUUAUAAAUCAAAACCAGUGAUAUCUUUAUAGAUUCCAGGGUCUAAUGCUUUAUGUAAUGAAAGCAACACAUUCUGUUAUACUUCUAUUUUGAAGCUAGUUAAUGGCAGUUUUGCUAUCUGAUUUCUAGCAGCUGAAUGAACUGCCUUCUUUGAAUAUUGCUGUCUCUCAAGUGAAACUGUGGUGCAUGAUCUAUGAUGCCUGUUUCACAUAUGGACAUGCAUGUAUGUCCAUAACGCAGUCCUAGGCACCUGAUCAUAGACUACUUGAAAGCAUUUGAUGAAACUGAGAUAACUAGCUUCCAAAGAGUGGUUGGCUCCCCAUUCUCAAGUGUAUCAUGAAAUGACUGUUGUACAUUACUUGUUUGUGAAUGCUAGAUCAUUUGGGAAUGCAUUUCUAGUUUAUGCUCAAGAGGCAAAACUUUUAUAUCACAAUGCAGUAGUUUAAGGUUCUUCAACUUUCUGUACAAGGUUCACUAAACAGGCAACAUAGCACUGGAUUCCCUUCCACAGAUAUAGUAUGAUGAACAAAUCAAUUCAAUACUGUAAGGAUUACUUAAAUUUGGUUAUGGUUUCUGAUUUGUUGUAAAAGCUUGAGGUUGUUUUGCUUAAAUGCAAGGCAACAAUUUCAUUUCAUGAAUUCUACUUGGAGGGAAGCUGGAAUUUAAAAAAAAUAAAAAUCCAAGUAAUAUAGAACAGCCAAAUGAAGUUAUCUCUAAGUUUUGUUUUCUUUGGGAUGAAAUGUAAAUGCAACAGAUUCCAAUCAUAUUUAAUAAAAUAACAAUCAAAAUA
Long non-coding RNA from Hemicordylus capensis (graceful crag lizard), 1792 nucleotides. RefSeq lists it as uncharacterized. Lineage: Eukaryota; Metazoa; Chordata; Lepidosauria; Squamata; Cordylidae. The record is from RefSeq and is a predicted model, not a curated record. The transcript is spliced from 3 exons.